This is a non-coding RNA of Macaca mulatta (Rhesus monkey), 829 nucleotides long. NCBI's taxonomy places the organism in Eukaryota, Metazoa, Chordata, Mammalia, Primates, Cercopithecidae. The record is from RefSeq and is a predicted model, not a curated record.
GCUGGGGGCGGGGAAGCGGGGGCGGGGUGGCGCAGGAAGAAGGAGCAGAAGGUGCGGGGAGGAGAGCGGGGGGCGCCGGCGGCGAGCGCGCGUGGAGGCGGCACUUCGCGAAGUGGCACUUCGGGGCGGGCGGCUGGCCCGCCGGGUCACGGCCUGGCGCUGCGGGGAGGGGACCCGAGCGGCUCGGACGCAGGACGCCGCGGGCCGGGUUUACAGGUGACAGAGGCCCCGACCCCACCGCUUCGCCGGCGCUGUGGUCUCUGAUUGCUGGAUGUCAUGCACUGAAGCCUGGAGGCUCCAGAUCCCGGAUAUUCCGUGCUUGCGCGUGCCCUACAGCAGCACAGUUCAGUAGGCAGAAGCCACUUCUACUACCCGGCUAAGAAAACAUGGGCAGAUCCUGCUCUGGAUGACGCUGUGUUCCAGCCUGCAGAGAGGGUCCCCCAUUUCUUCGGAACUAAUCCUCCAGGAAAUUAACAGAGAGCUGCUGUUGGAAACUGGAGCCCUCCCCUUCCUCAGCCCUGAGCGAGGUAAACAAUUCUGCUCUGCCUUCCGGAGGUUUCAAAUUAGCUCUUCGACCAGCAUCUUCACACAGCUUCCAGUCCUGCCACAGUCUUGAAGAAGAGAUCAGCUUUCAAGUCUUCAUUCUUGUCAAGAUUAGAUGCCCCUCGAAUCUCCCAUGUGUCAUUAAUCCCAGACGAACAAGCACUCGGGAACUGCGGGCUGCAGAUGGUCCGCUUAUCCUGCAAAACGCUCCUCUUUUGGGGCUUAACCCCUUUAGUCUUUGUUGCUUCUGCAGCUCUCUGAUGCCAUUAAAGAGAUGAUUUUUAUA